GAUGAACGCUGGCGGCGUGCCUAAUACAUGCAAGUCGAGCGAACGGACGAGAAGCUUGCUUCUCUGAUGUUAGCGGCGGACGGGUGAGUAACACGUGGAUAACCUACCUAUAAGACUGGGAUAACUUCGGGAAACCGGAGCUAAUACCGGAUAAUAUUUUGAACCGCAUGGUUCAAAAGUGAAAGACGGUCUUGCUGUCACUUAUAGAUGGAUCCGCGCUGCAUUAGCUAGUUGGUAAGGUAACGGCUUACCAAGGCAACGAUGCAUAGCCGACCUGAGAGGGUGAUCGGCCACACUGGAACUGAGACACGGUCCAGACUCCUACGGGAGGCAGCAGUAGGGAAUCUUCCGCAAUGGGCGAAAGCCUGACGGAGCAACGCCGCGUGAGUGAUGAAGGUCUUCGGAUCGUAAAACUCUGUUAUUAGGGAAGAACAUAUGUGUAAGUAACUGUGCACAUCUUGACGGUACCUAAUCAGAAAGCCACGGCUAACUACGUGCCAGCAGCCGCGGUAAUACGUAGGUGGCAAGCGUUAUCCGGAAUUAUUGGGCGUAAAGCGCGCGUAGGCGGUUUUUUAAGUCUGAUGUGAAAGCCCACGGCUCAACCGUGGAGGGUCAUUGGAAACUGGAAAACUUGAGUGCAGAAGAGGAAAGUGGAAUUCCAUGUGUAGCGGUGAAAUGCGCGGAGAUAUGGAGGAACACCAGUGGCGAAGGCGACUUUCUGGUCUGUAACUGACGCUGAUGUGCGAAAGCGUGGGGAUCAAACAGGAUUAGAUACCCUGGUAGUCCACGCCGUAAACGAUGAGUGCUAAGUGUUAGGGGGUUUCCGCCCCUUAGUGCUGCAGCUAACGCAUUAAGCACUCCGCCUGGGGAGUACGACCGCAAGGUUGAAACUCAAAGGAAUUGACGGGGACCCGCACAAGCGGUGGAGCAUGUGGUUUAAUUCGAAGCAACGCGAAGAACCUUACCAAAUCUUGACAUCCUUUGACAACUCUAGAGAUAGAGCCUUCCCCUUCGGGGGACAAAGUGACAGGUGGUGCAUGGUUGUCGUCAGCUCGUGUCGUGAGAUGUUGGGUUAAGUCCCGCAACGAGCGCAACCCUUAAGCUUAGUUGCCAUCAUUAAGUUGGGCACUCUAAGUUGACUGCCGGUGACAAACCGGAGGAAGGUGGGGAUGACGUCAAAUCAUCAUGCCCCUUAUGAUUUGGGCUACACACGUGCUACAAUGGACAAUACAAAGGGCAGCGAAACCGCGAGGUCAAGCAAAUCCCAUAAAGUUGUUCUCAGUUCGGAUUGUAGUCUGCAACUCGACUACAUGAAGCUGGAAUCGCUAGUAAUCGUAGAUCAGCAUGCUACGGUGAAUACGUUCCCGGGUCU
This 1372-nucleotide ribosomal RNA is filed under the name uncultured bacterium. Its description in RNAcentral is "bacterial SSU rRNA". It matches the Rfam family "Bacterial small subunit ribosomal RNA", at positions 28 to 1381 of the family's 1533-position model. The record is from RNAcentral.